ACUCAAAUGAAUAGACGGGGACUUGCACAAGCGGUGGAUCAUGUGGUUUAAUUCGAUGACAAGCGAAAAACCUUACCAGGGCUUGAAAUCUAUUUGAAGUUCAGCAGAAACGUUGAACGUCUCACAAGGACAGAUAGACAGGUGCUGCAUGGUUGUCGUCAGUUCGUGGUUUGAGCUGUUCCCUUAAGUGGGGUAACGAACGCAACCCUCGUUGCUAGUUUUAUUAGUCUAGCGAGACUGCUCCCUCACGGGAGAGGAAGGUGAGGAUGACGCCAAAUCAGCAUGGCCCUCUGAUGCCCUGGGCUACACACGUGAUACAAUCGCCGCUACAACGGGAUGCGACGCCGAUGUAAAGGCUGAGCCAAUCCUAAUAAAAGCGGCGCCAGUUCGGAUUGAGGUCUGCAACUCGACCUCAUGAAGCCGGAAUCGCUAGUAAUCGCGGAUCAGCAACGCCGCGGUGAAUACGUUCUCAAGUCUUGUACACACCGCCCGU
Molecule: ribosomal RNA, 493 nt
Filed under: uncultured bacterium
Lineage: Bacteria
Description: partial 16S ribosomal RNA
Rfam family: Bacterial small subunit ribosomal RNA
Source: RNAcentral